Molecule: ribosomal RNA, 501 nt
Filed under: uncultured bacterium
Lineage: Bacteria
Description: partial 16S ribosomal RNA
Rfam family: Bacterial small subunit ribosomal RNA
Source: RNAcentral
AUUGAACGCUGGCGGCAGGCUUAACACAUGCAAGUCGAGCGGGGGAAGGUAGCUUGCUACCGGACCUAGCGGCGGACGGGUGAGUAAUGCUUAGGAAUCUGCCUAUUAGUGGGGGACAACAUCUCGAAAGGGGUGCUAAUACCGCACACGUCCUACGGGAGAAAGCAGGGGAUCUUCGGACCUUGCGCUAAUAGAUGAGCCUAAGUCGGAUUAGCUAGUUGGUGGGGUAAAGGCCUACCAAGGCGACGAUCUGUAGUGGGUCUGAGAGGAUGAUCCGCCACACUGGGACUGAGACACGGCCCAGACUCCUACGGGAGGCAGCAGUGGGGAAUAUUGGACAAUGGGGGGAACCCUGAUCCAGCCAUGCCGCGUGUGUGAAGAAGGCCUUAUGGUUGUAAAGCACUUUAAGCGAGGAGGAGGCUACUUUAGUUAAUACCUAGAGAUAGCGGACGUUACUCGCAGAAUAAGCACCGGCUAACUCUGUGCCAGCAGCCGCCGCGG